RNAcentral lists this RNase P RNA (423 nucleotides) under Bordetella genomosp. 13. RNAcentral describes it as "RNase P RNA component class A". It matches the Rfam family "Bacterial RNase P class A". From Rfam's summary of the family: Ribonuclease P (RNase P) is a ubiquitous endoribonuclease, found in archaea, bacteria and eukarya as well as chloroplasts and mitochondria. Lineage: Bacteria; Pseudomonadati; Pseudomonadota; Betaproteobacteria; Burkholderiales; Alcaligenaceae. The record is from RNAcentral.
AGGGCAGAUCGGGCAAUCGCGGGGCGUCUCAGGCGUUUCGAGGAAGGUCCGGACUCCACAGGGCAGGAUAGCGGCUAACGGCCGUCCGGAUGCGAGGCGGGGCUUUGCCCCGCCUUGUUCAUUCGAGGAACAGGGCCACAGAGACGAGUCUGCGGCGCGGGCGCGCCUGGCGCGCACAGGCACGGCCAUCUCCGUGCUUCGCUCGCCGGCAACGGCGGGCGGCGCCGCAGGGUGAAACGCGGCAACCUCUAUCCGGAGCAACAUCAAAUAGGCAUGCGCACGGCUCUUCGGAGCCGGAAAGGGCGGCUCGUCCGAGCAUGCGGGUAGAUGGCUACAGCCGUCCAGCAAUGGCCGGCGCAGAGGAAUGAUUGCCCGCCGGGGCGACCCGGCGUACAGAAUCCGGCCUAUAGAUCUGUCCUGCCU